UCCAUGCAGUCGAGCGAGCUCUUCGGAGCUAGCGGCGGACGGGUUAGUAACGCGUGGGAACGUGCCCUUCACUGCGGAAUAGCCACUGGAAACGGUGAGUAAUACCGCAUACGCCCUUCGGGGGAAAGAUUUAUCGGUGAAGGAUCGGCCCGCGUUAGAUUAGAUAGUUGGUGGGGUAACGGCCUACCAAGUCUACGAUCUAUAGCUGGUUUUAGAGGAUGAUCAGCAACACUGGGACUGAGACACGGCCCAGACUCCUACGGGAGGCAGCAGUGGGGAAUCUUGGACAAUGGGCGCAAGCCUGAUCCAGCCAUGCCGCGUGAGUGAUGAAGGCCUUAGGGUCGUAAAGCUCUUUCGCCAGAGAUGAUAAUGACAGUAUCUGGUAAAGAAACCCCGGCUAACUCCGUGCCAGCAGCCGCGGUAAUACGGAGGGGGUUAGCGUUGUUCGGAAUUACUGGGCGUAAAGCGCACGUAGGCGGAUCAGAAAGUUGGGGGUGAAAUCCCGGGGCUCAACCCCGGAACUGCCUCCAAAACUCCUGGUCUUGAGUUCGAGAGAGGUGAGUGGAAUUCCGAGUGUAGAGGUGAAAUUCGUAGAUAUUCGGAGGAACACCAGUGGCGAAGGCGGCUCACUGGCUCGAUACUGACGCUGAGGUGCGAAAGUGUGGGGAGCAAACAGGAUUAGAUACCCUGGUAGUCCACACCGUA
RNAcentral lists this ribosomal RNA (705 nucleotides) under Marinovum sp. RNAcentral describes it as "bacterial SSU rRNA". It matches the Rfam family "Bacterial small subunit ribosomal RNA", at positions 52 to 804 of the family's 1533-position model. Lineage: Bacteria; Pseudomonadati; Pseudomonadota; Alphaproteobacteria; Rhodobacterales; Roseobacteraceae. The record is from RNAcentral.